This 496-nucleotide ribosomal RNA is filed under the name uncultured bacterium. Its description in RNAcentral is "partial 16S ribosomal RNA". It matches the Rfam family "Bacterial small subunit ribosomal RNA", at positions 29 to 507 of the family's 1533-position model. The record is from RNAcentral.
AUGAACGCUGGCGGCGUGCCUAAUACAUGCAAGUCGAGCGAACGGACUAGAAGCUUGCUUCUCUGAUGUUAGCGGCGGACGGGUGAGUAACACGUGGAUAACCUACCUAUAAGACUGGGAUAACUUCGGGAAACCGUAGCUAAUACCGGAUAAUAUUUUGAACCGCAUGGUUCAAAAGUGAAAGACGGUCUUGCUGUCACUUAUAGAUGGAUCCGCGCUGCAUUAGCUAGUUGGUAAGGUAACGGCUUACCAAGGCAACGAUGCAUAGCCGACCUGAGAGGGUGAUCGGCCACACUGGAACUGAGACACGGUCCAGACUCCUACGGGAGGCAGCAGUAGGGAAUCUUCCGCAAUGGGCGAAAGCCUGACGGAGCAACGCCGCGUGAGUGAUGAAGGUCUUCGGAUCGUAAAACUCUGUUAUUAGGGAAGAACAUAUGUGUAAGUAACUGUGCACAUCUUGACGGUACCUAAUCAGAAAGCCACGGCUAACUACGUG